This 75-nucleotide transfer RNA is filed under the name Candidatus Harrisonbacteria bacterium. RNAcentral describes it as "tRNA-Glu". It matches the Rfam family "tRNA". Rfam says of the family: Transfer RNA (tRNA) molecules are approximately 80 nucleotides in length. Their secondary structure includes four short double-helical elements and three loops (D, anti-codon, and T loops). Lineage: Bacteria; Candidatus Harrisoniibacteriota. The record is from RNAcentral.
GGUCCUAUCGUCUAACCUGGUUCAGGACGUCGCCCUCUCACGGCGAAAAUUCGGGUUCAAAUCCCGAUGGGAUCA